CAGCCGCCGCGGUAAUACGUAGGGUGCGAGCGUUAAUCGGAAUUACUGGGCGUAAAGCGUGCGCAGGCGGUUGUGUAAGACAGGUGUGGAAUCCCCGGGCUUAACCUGGGAACUGCGCUUGUGACUGCACAGCUAGAGUAUGGCAGAGGGGGGUGGAAUUCCACGUGUAGCAGUGAAAUGCGUAGAGAUGUGGAGGAACACCGAUGGCGAAGGCAGCCCCCUGGGCCAAUACUGACGCUCAUGCACGAAAGCGUGGGGAGCAAACAGGAUUAGAUACCCCCGUAGUCCCUGUCUCUUAUAC
RNAcentral lists this ribosomal RNA (301 nucleotides) under uncultured bacterium. RNAcentral describes it as "partial 16S ribosomal RNA". It matches the Rfam family "Bacterial small subunit ribosomal RNA", at positions 509 to 807 of the family's 1533-position model. The record is from RNAcentral.